UACGGAGGGAGCUAGCGUUGUUCGGAAUUACUGGGCGUAAAGCGUACGUAGGCGGUUACUCAAGUCAGAGGUGAAAGCCCGGGGCUCAACCCCGGAACUGCCUUUGAAACUAGGUAGCUAGAAUCUUGGAGAGGUCAGUGGAAUUCCGAGUGUAGAGGUGAAAUUCGUAGAUAUUCGGAAGAACACCAGUGGCGAAGGCGACUGACUGGACAAGUAUUGACGCUGAGGUACGAAAGCGUGGGGAGCAAACAGGAUUAGAAACCCCCGUAGUCC
This 273-nucleotide ribosomal RNA is filed under the name uncultured bacterium. RNAcentral describes it as "partial 16S ribosomal RNA". It matches the Rfam family "Bacterial small subunit ribosomal RNA", at positions 524 to 796 of the family's 1533-position model. The record is from RNAcentral.